Brassica napus (rape) is the source of this 1526-nucleotide long non-coding RNA. RefSeq lists it as uncharacterized. NCBI's taxonomy places the organism in Eukaryota, Viridiplantae, Streptophyta, Magnoliopsida, Brassicales, Brassicaceae. The record is from RefSeq and is a predicted model, not a curated record. The transcript has 2 exons.
AUGUUUUUAGAAACUUUUUAAAAGGAAACUAAAUAAAAAAUAAUAAUAUUAUUUAAUAUUUUUAAUUCAUUAAGGGUAUUAAUGUAGUCGACCAUCGUGAGAGUUAAUAUGAAAACGGCACAUAAGAAACUGACUUCUCAAAUAAUAUUAUAGAGAUAUCAUCUAGUGCAAAUAAAUUUAAGUGUCCAUGUUUUCUUGAUGAAUAAGUUAGUUAAAUGAAAAUUUCUUUGUGAUAAAGUAACUUGAGCCUUGAAAUGAAGAGAAGUCAUAGCGGCAUAGAUUACAGUUCAAGUCCACAGCUACAGAAGAAGGAGAACCUGUAUCAGGCUUACAGGCUACUCAGCAAAAAUAUCCGAUGUAGGUAACGCUACCAUGUACCCAUUCAGAAGAUGAAAGACAUCCAAUGUAUGGAGUUCCAUACCAGGCUAAAAACCAUUAUGAUGGACAGCUACAGAAGAAGCUUGAGGAAGAGAAGACAUCCACUUGUUUUGGGGGCCGACUCAGUUUUUCUUGGAUUAGUAGACUUACUGAUCAAUUAGUUCAAUAGUGCUUAUUAGAUCCUUAACAAGCAAAUAAAAGUCUAGCCAAGUAAGUCUGGUUAGUGAAUUGAUUACUGUUAUAAGAGUGGGUCAAUAGUGAUUCAUGUGUUAAGAUUUUAUUUAAUGAUUCUUCGUGCACCUUAUGAAAUCUUUUCUUAUUAAUUAGUAGUAACUAACAUUAAAACAUACAUUUGAGACCCCUUAAAAGCCUCUUCUAGGUAGUUAUUUAUACCUUGUACUAUUUGAAUUUUGCUUCUAAGCCUUUGAGACUAAUCAAUAUAUACAAUACUAAAAGGGAUAUAUGAGCUCCAUUGAGUCUAUCCAGGUCAGCAUAAAAAAUCAGCCAAUGAGAAACUUAGUUUUUGCCACGUCACACCAGACUUGGAUAGUAUUGGGCUUUUUUUUUAUCCUUGAAGUGAAUUAUUUGGCUCAAAUUCCAUGUCAUCUUCUCUUCCGGAACUCAAUCUCGCAGCCUCCACUUUUCAGAGCUUCAUCUCUUCACCUCCCAUUCGUAUCUCUUAAGCUUCCCUGUUUUAAUUAUGCCAUAAUUACUGCUUCUGAUCGCUUUCGUCUUCAUCGCCGUCUUCAACCUCUUAACGAUCGGACCAACCACUUUCAGCGUUUUCCAACUACUCUAUUGACUACAGCUGAAACCGAUCUCCACCAAAGUAAAAUCAGUGUCUCUCUUAAGCUAUGAAGAUUUGGGUCUUGAAGGAAUCAAACAAAGAGUUAAGUUUGUUUUUAUUUUCAACUUUCGAUUCCUUAUUCUGUCAUUAUGAUUAGACUUAGCUAAGAUUUGUGCUUGAUCCGUAUUCCUACAAUGUUACCAUGACUGAAAACCUGGCGGCUGAGAAUGAAAGGAUGAAUGAUGUCGCAAAGAUCAAAGUUGUUAUUUUUGAGAACAGAUGCCUAAGUGACUACUUUAAAAAAAAAGUAUUCAGCAAAAAAACGAAGAAGACGUUGUUGACACAAAUUCCAAUUGCUUAA